UGCUAUUUAUAAUAGCAAUGUGCUGGAAGGAACCCAAAUGCCCAGCAAUCCUGUAAUGACUAAGCAAACCCUGAACCGUUACACGCCAGACCACUGCAGAGCCGUUGGAAAAGGCGGGCAUGCGGCUGAUGUCCAUACAUGGAAAGGUACCUUGGAAAGGCAUGUUUUUAAAAGGAGAUCACAAAAUGGACGACGACGACGACGACGACGACGAUGACGACGAUGAUGACGAUGAUGAUAAUAAUACUGUACUUCUCUGUUUAUGUCCUCUGGAAAAAGGAGUUACUGGACCACUUGAUUCACCUCAUCAUCCUUCUUUUAAUUCAAGAAGAUAAUUAUGGCCAAGUGAGGAAGAAGUUUCUGCUUCUGGAGAAAAUAAUUUAAAUCUGGCAAGAACUGAAGGAAUGUGUUUGGGAGGAGCUCUUGAUGUGUUGGACUGAGUGGGUAGAAUAAAUGUCUAAAAAGUGGGGACAAAUCUAUUGAAUUGAAUUGGGGGUAUUAUCCAUGACUUGGUUUUCAGGUCCCAGUAAGGACACCUAGAGCAAGUCCUCAUAUUGCCAGAAGCCUUCUGAAGUUUAGGCGUAACUGUAGAAGUUAAGGUUGAGGUAGAGAUGCUGAAGUUGCCCUCGCAUAAUACUGAGAAAGUGGCUGGAAGGUCAAGGAUGUAGGAAUAUUAGAAUGGACUUAUUAGGAAAAACUAUUUAAUUCUUCACUUGAUUCUGUUAUCUGAGAAGACACAGAGGACACUUCCUUCAUGAAAAUAGAAGGGGCUAUAAUGAUGGUCAGGUGAAGAUAGAGGAUGAAGGCAGUGAAAUUUUUUGAGAAGCUUGGUGGUGAACCUCCUCUGAGAGCUAGAAACUCCCAUGAAAUUGUACUUCACUCUAUUAACAGACAUGAUAGAAUUCUGGAAAGGCAACAGGGAGGUGAAUGUAAAUUCAGUAAUGGUCAAUGAGGUCAGAGUGGUAGGCAGAGUACCUUGACCUACAAGCCAAUAGACCUUGGUGUUCCGAGAGGCCAGCUACAUGUAUAGCUGACCAGAGUGGUCACUUGAGAUGUGAUUAGGUACCAGUGUGGAAAAUCACAGUACCUCACAGUCUAUAGGUCUGAGUUGGUUCAGUCCCAAAGCCCAAUAAUAAAAGAUGGGAGAGGUACUUUGGAGAUAGAUCAUUGCACCAUAACCUCAAGUAUAUACAAUGAAUACUCCCCUGAUCCUUCUCCAAAAGGACCUUUACCAGUGUAGCUGUGCACUGAGGACAGGGAGAUGCCCAGUCUUUUCAAAGACAAUUGGGUAUGGGAAUUGGGUUGAUGCUGACCCCAGGGAAGUCAGCUCCAGCUAGGUAGGGAAGUUAUACAGGUGAUAAAUCUAGUCCUGGCCUCAGACUGACCUGUAAUAUAUCCAGUGUAUUCAGAUACUCACCCUUUGAUUACUUUCCCAGUCCUGAUGAUAUAUUGGAAUGGAUAAUCUCAAGAGCGAGCAGACCCCUCACAUUGAUAGAAGGGCUACAUGGAAGUCUGUGACCUUGUACAAAUCAGAAGCAUCUCAGGAGAAACUUUAAUGGUUAAUGCAAUUAAAGUUGAAGAUUUAAAAGAGGACUGGGAAUAUAGCUCAGUGGUAGAACACUUGCUUAGCAAGCAUAAGGCCCCUGGGUUUGAUCUCCAACA
Molecule: long non-coding RNA, 1662 nt
Organism: Marmota monax (woodchuck)
Lineage: Eukaryota; Metazoa; Chordata; Mammalia; Rodentia; Sciuridae
Exons: 3
Source: RefSeq, a predicted model, not a curated record